GAACUCCUCAGCUGCAUCGUGUUUCGCAUAAGAUCGGCGGGGAGCGUCAAGUAUGCGUACAGUAUGACGGGGUGCAGCGCACCAAACUGCACAAGCUGCACGGAAGGUGGCAAAGCUUCUUACGCGGUGCCGUGCGAACGGACAGAUGUGCGCCGAGACCGGCUGGCUCCGCAAGAGACCAGGAUAUGCGAGUUGCUUUGAAUUCUGCCUCCCAAGGCUCCAAGAACCAGCACUCUUGUCCUGCUACCUGCAGCCAUUGGUCAUCCAUUCCCUUGUACGAAAUAAAUUUGAUCUAUA
Dermacentor albipictus is the source of this 297-nucleotide long non-coding RNA. RefSeq lists it as uncharacterized. Lineage: Eukaryota; Metazoa; Arthropoda; Arachnida; Ixodida; Ixodidae. The record is from RefSeq and is a predicted model, not a curated record.